CCCUUAGAUGUUCUGGGCCGCACGCGCGCUACACUGACGAAUGCAACGAGCUUAUAACCUUGGCCGAAAGGUCUGGGUAAUCUCCAAAUUUCGUCGUGAUGGGGAUAGAUUAUUGCAAUUAUUAAUCUUCAACGAGGAAUGCCUAGUAAGCGCAAGUCAUCAGCUUGCGCUGAUUACGUCCCUGCCCUUUGUACACACCGCCCGUCGCUCCUACCGAUUGAAUGGUCCGGUGAAGCGUUCGGACCGUGGCCUUUGGACGGUUCGCCGUCUGUUGGCUGCGGGAAGUUCGUUAAACCUUAUCAUUUAGAGGAAGGAGAANUCGUAACA
RNAcentral lists this ribosomal RNA (327 nucleotides) under uncultured eukaryote. RNAcentral describes it as "partial 18S ribosomal RNA". It matches the Rfam family "Eukaryotic small subunit ribosomal RNA", at positions 1470 to 1796 of the family's 1831-position model. The record is from RNAcentral.